This is a non-coding RNA of Meleagris gallopavo (turkey), 203 nucleotides long. The record is from RefSeq and is a predicted model, not a curated record. Lineage: Eukaryota; Metazoa; Chordata; Aves; Galliformes; Phasianidae.
AAGAGAUACGUCGCCCAGGCACCGGAUGAACUCUCCUUUGAGGUGGGAGACAUCGUGUGCAUUAUUGAUAUGCCACCAAAGGAGCUGACGCCCCUGGUGGAGAGGCAAGCAUGGCUUCCAGGUGGGAUUUUUCCCUGGCGAGUGUGUGGAACUGAUUACUAACCAAGUUCCCGAUGCUCUCGUCAACUCAGUGCCAAAGCCAG